RNAcentral lists this non-coding RNA (177 nucleotides) under Chelonobacter oris. RNAcentral describes it as "Lysine sequence". It matches the Rfam family "Lysine riboswitch aptamer". Rfam says of the family: Riboswitches are metabolite binding domains within certain messenger RNAs that serve as precision sensors for their corresponding targets. Allosteric rearrangement of mRNA structure is mediated by ligand binding, and this results in modulation of gene expression. Lineage: Bacteria; Pseudomonadati; Pseudomonadota; Gammaproteobacteria; Pasteurellales; Pasteurellaceae. The record is from Rfam by way of RNAcentral.
AUGAGCAGAAGAGGCGCAGUCUUCAGGCAGUUAUUUCAUCAGGCCGGAACCAUUGAAAUAAUCAGGGGAAGACUGCCGAGACGGCUCAAUUUUCCGGAAAUGGCGCUGUCGGCUGCCAGGGCUGAAUCCCUGGGGCUGUCAUCAACGGUAACGGUUUGAUGGAGUGCUUCUGGGUAA